CCUACGGGGGGCAGCAGUGAGGCAUAUUGGUCAAUGGGCGCGAGCCUGAACCAGCCAAGUAGCGUGAAGGAUGACUGUCCUAUGGGUUGUAAACCUCUUUUAUAAAGGAAUACAGUGAGGCACGCGUGCCUUUUUGUAUGUACUUUAUGAAUAAGGAUCGGCUAACUCCGUGCCAGCAGCCGCGGUAAUCCGGAGGAUCCGAGCGUUAUCCGGAUUUCUUGGGUUUAAAGGGUGCGUAGAUGGGUUGUUAAGUCAGGUGUGAAAGUUUGCGGCUCAACCGUAAAAUUGCAGUUGAUACUGGCAGUCUUGAGUGCAUGUGAGGUAGGCGGAAUUCGUGGUGUAGCGGUGAAAUGCUUAGAUAUCACGAAGAACUCCGAUUGCGAAGGCAGCUUACUAAACUGCCACUGACGUUGAUGCUCGAAAGUGUGGGUAUCGAACAGGAUUAGAUACCCCAGUAGUC
This 460-nucleotide ribosomal RNA is filed under the name uncultured bacterium. Its description in RNAcentral is "partial 16S ribosomal RNA". It matches the Rfam family "Bacterial small subunit ribosomal RNA", at positions 338 to 795 of the family's 1533-position model. The record is from RNAcentral.